CCUACGGGUGGCAGCAGUGAGGAAUAUUGGUCAAUGGUCGGGAGACUGAACCAGCCAAGCCGCGUGAGGGAGGAAGGUACAGAGUAUCGUAAACCUCUUUUGUCAGGGAAUAAAGUCUGGGACGCGUCCCCGGAUGAGUGUACCUGAAGAAAAAGCAUCGGCUAACUCCGUGCCAGCAGCCGCGGUAAUACGGAGGAUGCGAGCGUUAUCCGGAUUUAUUGGGUUUAAAGGGUGCGCAGGCGGUCUGUUAAGUCAGCGGUCAAAGCCCGGGGCUCAACCCCGGCCUUGCAGCGCGAACUGGCGUGCUUGAGUCCGCGGAAAGCAGGCGGAAUUCGUCGUGUAGCGGUGAAAUGCUUAGAUAUGACGAAGAACCCCGAUUGCGAAGGCAGCUUGCUGUAGCGGAACUGACGCUGAUGCUCGAAAGCGCGGGUAUCGAACAGGAUUAGAUACCCUUGUAGUC
Molecule: ribosomal RNA, 460 nt
Filed under: uncultured bacterium
Lineage: Bacteria
Description: partial 16S ribosomal RNA
Rfam family: Bacterial small subunit ribosomal RNA
Source: RNAcentral